CUGAAGAAACGUUACAGUCUGACUGUGAAGGACAGCCGCGACAGGGAGGAGUUCAGACGGGCUGCGGUCAAACGGAAGGUCAAAGGUGCAGAUUGCCUCGUCUCACACACAGGAGAGCCUGAUGCGGCUGCUGGAGAUCUAUGAGAUGCUUGGGGAGGAGGUGGUCAAUCCGACCAACGAGCUCCUCAGGGAAGGUCGUCUGCUCAAGCUUGCUGCCAGGAACACCUCCACCAGGGAGAGGCACCUAUUCCUGGUGUCAGUGGAGCUGAUGGCAGUAUCCAGUCAGAUCUGGAGCACCUGGGCCCAGCGCAGGAUAUAAAAGGCCCAGCAUCUGCCAUUUCAGGGCUCUCUCUCCCUGCCAGAGCCAGAAAACCCCGUUGUUUUGUCUUUUGUUUUCAUAAUUUGCUUCACAACACCUUACAUCACAUUAUCCACACACAU
This is a long non-coding RNA of Cottoperca gobio, 441 nucleotides long. RefSeq lists it as uncharacterized. The transcript is spliced from 3 exons. The record is from RefSeq and is a predicted model, not a curated record. NCBI's taxonomy places the organism in Eukaryota, Metazoa, Chordata, Actinopteri, Perciformes, Bovichtidae.